This 108-nucleotide microRNA precursor is filed under the name Marmota monax (woodchuck). Lineage: Eukaryota; Metazoa; Chordata; Mammalia; Rodentia; Sciuridae. The record is from RNAcentral.
ACACAAAUUACCCAGGGAAGCUUGUUAAACUUACAGUGUCUGAUUCGCUGUGUCUUAUAUGGGGCAUAAUAUUCUGCAUUUCUAAUAGGCUUCCCAGGUGAUGUUGAA